This 1067-nucleotide long non-coding RNA is filed under the name Numida meleagris (helmeted guineafowl). RNAcentral describes it as "lncRNA (ENSNMEG00000022676.1)". Lineage: Eukaryota; Metazoa; Chordata; Aves; Galliformes; Numididae. The record is from RNAcentral.
GAGGAACACGGGGCAAAGGGGCCUAAGGUUAUCAGAGGAACUCCUUCAAGUAUCAUUAGAAAAUAGCAUUAUUUUAGCUGGUAAUUUUAUAUACUGUAAAAAAUACGGUGAUAAAAUACUCGGGACUGUGCUCACUGUGGUAAGCAGGGGUCAGAGAGGAGGGAGUUCCCACCCACGUGAACAUGCACCAUUAAACCUUGCAGAGAUUGAGCAACUCCCUCGCUCCAUGGCCAGGUGAAUGCUGUACCAGCAGCCUCCCAGCACAGAGGGAACCAGUGCUCCUGGCCCUGUGCAGAAGCAGCGCCAUGCAGAAAAUGAACCAGAUGACACUGACAUUUUCCCCUGGUCAUUCCGCAACUCUUCAGUUUCAUGCUUAUUUUUAAGACAUGUUGAGAAGUGAUGGUCCUCCAGGGCUUUGUGUGCCCUCAGACGUGCGUGUGAGCCCCGCAUGGGCAGGCUGCUGUCUGUGAUUUCCUUUUGGGGAAAAGGAGGGACAACUCUUAUCCCCAUAACAGGUAGGACUACUGCGUGAGUGGGAGGAAAACAGCUCUCUUCCAUGACUACAGCCCAUAAGCAGAUAUUCUAACCAACCUCUGGGCUGUUAUGUGGGGCUUUCAGGCAGAAUUUGAGAAAAUGCAGGGACCUUGAAAAACUUAGUGAUGUCCAAGAGACAGAAUGCCAUAUUGCCGUGAUCAUGACAGACCUACAAAGAAAGCAGACUGACCUCAGACAGCUCCUGGGGUAGCUCCAGCGUUUCAGCCCUCCCCUUGGUGCUUUCUGCACUGCUUGAAAUGAACAGGCUGCUUUCGUGGCACAUUGCUAGCCAAGUCAGCAGCAUCCUUUCCACGCGGAGUCAAGGCGGUUGUUGGUGUAUAUCUGUCAAAACACUGACAGACCUACUGGAACCAGGGCGCCCUUCCCAGCCUUUGACUUGUGACAUCUGAUAAUUUCAUGGUUAUAUUCAGCACUGAACAACUUCCUCCUGACCAUGAAUCAUAUCAAAAGAAGGAUCCCUUUUAAGAAAAGCUUUUCCAAGAGGUCCUUGUCUGGAGGAGUUCUGCACUGAG